UACGAAGGGGGCUAGCGUUGCUCGGAAUUACUGGGCGUAAAGGGUGCGUAGGCGGGUCUUUAAGUCAGAGGUGAAAUCCUGGAGCUCAACUCCAGAACUGCCUUUGAUACUGAGGAUCUUGGGUAUGGGAGAGGUGAGUGGAACUGCGAGUGUAGAGGUGAAAUCGUAGAUAUUCGCAAGAACACCAGUGGCGAAGGCGGCUCACUGGCCCAUUACUGACGCUGAGGCACGAAAGCGUGGGGAGCAAACAGGG
Molecule: ribosomal RNA, 253 nt
Filed under: uncultured bacterium
Lineage: Bacteria
Description: partial 16S ribosomal RNA
Rfam family: Bacterial small subunit ribosomal RNA
Source: RNAcentral